AUGGCGAACAAGAAAGAUAAGAGGUUCAGUGAUAGCACGGCCAUGGUGCGCAAGAGGUCGCCGCCGAGGCCAACAACACUGCACGAGGUCCCCGACAAGCUCCUCGAGCUCAUCCUCCUUCACUUGAGCUCGCCGCUCUGGCUCAUCCACGCCGCGGCCACAUGCAAGCGAUGGCGCCGCAUCAUCGUCGACAGAAGGUUCCUCUGCAACAUUUCCAACCGCGACCCCUCAUCCGUUGUCGCAGGCGACUACCAUAACCACGCAUCCCCCGUCGACGGCCGUCGCCACGUCUUUGUUCCCUCUUCGCCGGCGCUCGCUGUCGGUAGCCGCCACUUCUCUCUCGACUUCCUCCCUGCGGGUGGCGGCACCUCAUGGGAGAUCAUCGACAGCUGCCACAGCCUCCUCCUCCUCGCCAAGAAGAAGACCGGGUGGAGACGCCACUGCUUGCCGGACCUCCUCGUCUGCGAGCCGGUCACGCAGCGCUACAGGCUAAUCCCGCGCAUGGAGCACAUGAAAUACGAGCGCUGCCUCACUGUGUUCCUCCAUGGCUGCCACAGCAGAGGAGCCACCACGAGGAGAGGCCACACCAUUGAUGUCAUGUUGAAGUUCAAGGUGAUCUGCGUGCUCCACCGUGAAUACACCAGAAUAUCUGAUGACAUUGGCGUGAUGAGAGCCUUUGUGUUCGAGCGGAACUAUAGGGGGAAGCCUGGCUGGUACGUCAGGCACCGACCCAUGGACGAGCCUCUAAUCCGCCAAGAUGGCACCACGGAGCCCCUGCAUUUCCUUGGUCGGGCCACCAGAUCUCUAUUUUGGGCCCUGCAAGACGACUUCUCAUCCUUGCUAGCCUAUAAUUUCCAUUGGAAAAACGCGUUUGAAGUCCUCCCAUUGCCGGACCACAUCCAAGGGAUGCCUUCCCGAGUCUUCCGCAACGAUGACGGCGAGGCGUGCCUUGUUUGUUUGCAGGGCAGCAGCCUUCACGUCUUUGCUUAUAACGAUGGCGACUGGGACCUUGAGGAGAGCCUCGAAUUAAUGGAGGCCACUUGUGGGCUGGAAGGGUACAAGGAUGAGUAUUUCCGGGUGCCUAUGAAGAUUGUCACGGCCAGCACGAUGUCUAUCGUGCUUUCACCGGCAGAUCAGACAUGGCAAUUCUCAGUCGAUCUCGAGACAAUGGAGGUGACGAGAUACAAAAACAAGACUCAUGGUUCUCCAAGUGUGGCUUAUCCAUAGAAAGAUAGUGGUGCCCUAAACCACAGCAUGGCGCUGGUGCGAAAAGCGUCACCGGCCCGGCCGACGACGCUGCACGACAUCCCCGACAAGCUCCUCAAGAUCAUCCUCCUGUAUCUCCUCACCUCGCCCCACUGGCUUGUUCGCGCAGCGGCCACCUGCCAUUACCAUAACCACGCAUCCCCUGUCAAUGGCCGCCGCCUCAUCUUUGUUCCUUCCUCCCCAGUGCUUGCUGUCAAUAGCCACCACUUCUCCCUUGACUUCCUCCCUGGAGGUGGCAGCAGGUCAUGGGAGAUCGUAGAUAGCCACCACACGCUCCUCCUCCUCGUCAAGAAGAAGACUGGGAGGAGUCACCGCUGCUUCCCCGACCUCCUAGUCUGCGAGCCCAUCACACGGCGCUGCCAACUAAUCCCACGUGUGGAGAAAAUGAAAUACCACCCAUGUAUUGGUGUAUUCCUUGAUAUGCAUGGUCGCAGAGGAGCUAUCACGUGGGAUGGACGCGCCAUCGAUACAAUGUCAAGUUUCAGAGUGGUUUGCGUGCUCUACCAUGAAUUCACAGGGGUAUCUGGUAACAUUGGGACAGCCAAGGCCGUCGUGUUCGAAGAGGGCUGGAGGAGAAAGCGUGGCUGGUCCGUCAGGCAGCAGCACAAACCUCAAAUCCACCUCCAUGGCGUGGAAUCUCUGCAUUUCAUUGGCCGUGCAGCAUUCUCUCUUUUCUGGGCCAUGGAAGAUGACUCUUCCUCCUUGCUGGCUUAUAAUUUUCGGUGGUCAAACGAGUUUGUGAUCGUCCCACUUCCGGACCACGUCCGAGGAUCGGCUUGGCGAGCCAUUGAUAUCAACAACAGCAGCUCGGUGCAUGUUGUUUGCUUGCAGGGCGACAACCUUCGCAUCUUUGCGGCAAGGACAUACGAUAGCACCGACUGGGAGCUUCAGAAAAGCCUCCAAUUAAUGGAGGCUACUCGUGGACUGGCAGGGCACAAGGAUGAGUACUUCUGUGGGUCUACCAAGAUCGUCUCAACUAGCAUGAGCUUUAUUGUGUUUUCUCUGGCAGAGGAGACAUGGCUAUUCUCCAUUGACUUUGAGACCAUGGAGGUGGCGAAAUGCACAUACAAGGCGCAUUCUUCUGCAUGUGUGGCUUAUCCGUGUGAGCUUCCAUGGCUACCUGCCCUUCGUGCUUGUAUUGUGCGCUGUUCAAGAAGCGGGCGUGGCCGAUGUUCAGAUAUUUGUAUAUGUUGA
RNAcentral lists this ribosomal RNA (2460 nucleotides) under Triticum aestivum (bread wheat). RNAcentral's name for it is "partial small subunit ribosomal RNA". The record is from RNAcentral. Lineage: Eukaryota; Viridiplantae; Streptophyta; Magnoliopsida; Poales; Poaceae.